AGGGGCGUAGCUCAGUUGGUAGAGCACCGGAUUCCAAAUCCGACGGUCGGGAGUUCGAGUCUCUCCGCCCCUG
This 73-nucleotide transfer RNA is filed under the name Jannaschia sp. CCS1. It matches the Rfam family "tRNA". From Rfam's summary of the family: Transfer RNA (tRNA) molecules are approximately 80 nucleotides in length. Their secondary structure includes four short double-helical elements and three loops (D, anti-codon, and T loops). The record is from Rfam by way of RNAcentral. Lineage: Bacteria; Pseudomonadati; Pseudomonadota; Alphaproteobacteria; Rhodobacterales; Roseobacteraceae.